RNAcentral lists this ribosomal RNA (479 nucleotides) under Pantoea sp. RNAcentral describes it as "bacterial SSU rRNA". It matches the Rfam family "Bacterial small subunit ribosomal RNA", at positions 39 to 491 of the family's 1533-position model. Lineage: Bacteria; Pseudomonadati; Pseudomonadota; Gammaproteobacteria; Enterobacterales; Erwiniaceae. The record is from RNAcentral.
GGUUAGGGUCCGCGGAGCGAUGGCAUUAGUCAUGCAGUCUCAGCGGUAACUUAAAUAUCUUGCUACUUUGCUGGCUAGCGGCGGACGGGUGAGUAAUGUCUGGGAAUCUGCCUGAUGGAGGGGGAUAACUACUGGAAACGGUGGCUAAUACCGCAUAACGUCGCAAGACCAAAGAGGGGGACCUUCGGGCCUCUUGCCAUCAGAUGUGCCCAGAUGGGAUUAGCUAGUAGGUGGGGUAACGGCUCACCUAGGCGACGAUCCCUAGCUGGUCUGAGAGGAUGACCAGCCACACUGGAACUGAGACACGGUCCAGACUCCUACGGGAGGCAGCAGUGGGGGAAUAUUGCACAAUGGGCGCAAGCCUGAUGCAGCCAUGCCGCGUGGUAUGAAGAAGGCCUUAGGGUUGUAGAGGACUUUCAGCGGGGAAGAAGGUGAUAAGGUUAAUACCGUCAGCGAUUGACGUUACGCGGAGGAGAAGC